Molecule: ribosomal RNA, 232 nt
Filed under: uncultured bacterium
Lineage: Bacteria
Description: partial 16S ribosomal RNA
Rfam family: Bacterial small subunit ribosomal RNA
Source: RNAcentral
CGGACGGGAGAGUAAUGUCUGGGAAACUGCCUGAUGGAGGGGGAUAACUACUGGAAACGGUAGCUAAUACCGCAUAACGUCGCAAGACCAAAGAGGGGGACCUUCGGGCCUCUUGCCAUCGGAUGUGCCCAGAUGGGAUUAGCUAGUAGGUGGGGUAAAGGCUCACCUAGGCGACGAUCCCUAGCUGGUCUGAGAGGAUGACCAGCCACACUGGAACUGAGACACGGUCCAG